UACGAAGGGGGCUAGCGUUGCUCGGAAUCACUGGGCGUAAAGCGCACGUAGGCGGAUUUGUCAGUCAGGGGUGAAAUCCCGGGGCUCAACCUCGGAACUGCCUUUGAUACAGCAAGUCUUGAGUUCGAGAGAGGUGGGUGGAAUUCCUAGUGUAGAGGUGAAAUUCGUAGAUAUUAGGAAGAACACCGGUGGCGAAGGCGGCGAUCUGGGUCGAUACCGACGCUGAGGUGCGAAAGCGUGGGGAGCAAACAGG
RNAcentral lists this ribosomal RNA (253 nucleotides) under uncultured bacterium. RNAcentral describes it as "partial 16S ribosomal RNA". It matches the Rfam family "Bacterial small subunit ribosomal RNA", at positions 524 to 776 of the family's 1533-position model. The record is from RNAcentral.